GCAUAUCAAUAAGCGGAGGAAAAGAAACCAACAGGGAUUGCCCCAGUAACGGCGAGUGAAGCGGCAACAGCUCAAAUUUGAAAUCUGGCCCCCCGGGUCCGAGUUGUAAUUUGUAGAGGAUGCUUUUGGUGAGGUGCCGCCCGAGUUCCCUGGAACGGGACGCCACAGAGGGUGAGAGCCCCGUCUGGCUGGCCACCGAGCCUCUGUAAAGCUCCUUCGACGAGUCGAGUAGUUUGGGAAUGCUGCUCAAAAUGGGAGGUAUAUGUCUUCUAAAGCUAAAUAUUGGCCAGAGACCGAUAGCGCACAAGUAGAGUGAUCGAAAGAUGAAAAGCACCUUGAAAAGAGGGUUAAAUAGUACGUGAAAUUGUUGAAAGGGAAGCGCUUGUGACCAGACUUGGGCGCGGCGGAUCAUCCGGGGUUCUCUCCGGUGCACUUCGCCGCGUUCAGGCCAGCAUCAGUUCGUCGCGGGGGAUAAAGGCUUCGGGAACGUGGCUCCUCCGGGAGUGUUAUAGCCCGUUGCAUAAUACCCUGCGGUGGACUGAGGACCGCGCAUCUGCAAGGAUGCUGGCGUAAUGGUCACCAGCGACCCGUCUUGAAACACGGACC
Molecule: ribosomal RNA, 606 nt
Filed under: Trichoderma sp. JCM 28067
Lineage: Eukaryota; Fungi; Ascomycota; Sordariomycetes; Hypocreales; Hypocreaceae
Description: eukaryotic LSU rRNA
Rfam family: Eukaryotic large subunit ribosomal RNA
Source: RNAcentral